Camelina sativa (false flax) is the source of this 329-nucleotide non-coding RNA. Lineage: Eukaryota; Viridiplantae; Streptophyta; Magnoliopsida; Brassicales; Brassicaceae. The record is from RefSeq and is a predicted model, not a curated record.
GAUUGAUCAGGCCUUUUCUGCCCCGCAAGUUCCCCUGCAUUCCUGCUACUGAUGUUGCUGGAGAGGUCGUUGAGGUUGGAUCAGGAGUCAAGAAUUUUAAGGCUGGUGACAAAGUUGUAGCGGUUCUCAACCAUCUAACUGGAGGUGGACUUGCUGAGUUCGCCGUUGCAAGCGAGAAACUGACCGUCAAGAGACCCCAAGAAGUGGGAGCAGCUGAAGCAGCCGCUUUGCCUGUGGCAGGUCUAACCGCACUCCAGGCUCUAACUCAGCCUGCGGGGCUGAAGCUGGAUGGUACAGGCAAGCAGGCAAACUUCUUGAUCACAGCAGCA